RNAcentral lists this ribosomal RNA (395 nucleotides) under uncultured bacterium. RNAcentral describes it as "partial 16S ribosomal RNA". It matches the Rfam family "Bacterial small subunit ribosomal RNA", at positions 338 to 730 of the family's 1533-position model. The record is from RNAcentral.
CCUACGGGAGGCAGCAGUGAGGAAUAUUGGUCAAUGGGCGGGAGCCUGAACCAGCCAAGUAGCGUGAGGGAUGACUGCCCUACGGGUUGUAAACCUCUUUUACACAGGAAUACAGUGCGGCACGUGUGGCGUUUUGCAGGUACCUUAUGAAUAAGGAUCGGCUAAAUCCGUGCCAGCAGCCGCGGUAAUACGGAAGAUCCGAGCGUUAUCCGGAUUUAUUGGGGUUAAAGGGAGCGUAGACUGGUGGUUAAGUCAGUUGGUAAAGUGUGCGGCUCAACCGUAGACUUGCAUUUGAUACUGGCAGUCUUGAGGACAUAAGAGGUAGGCGGAAUGCGUGGUGUAGCGGUGAAAUGCAUAGAUAUCACGAAGAACUCCGAUUGCGAAGGCAGCUUACU